CCAGACGGCCGGAUGACCGCCUUUCGGACCCUUGACCGGGUCCGGGGGGAGGAAAGUCCGGGCUCCACGGAAACACGGUGCCGGGUAACGCCCGGCGAGGGUGACCUCAGGGAAAGUGCCACAGAAAGUAAACCGCCGGCGCACCCGCAAGGGCCGCCGGUAAGGGUGAAAGGGUGCGGUAAGAGCGCACCGCGCGGCCGGCAACGGCGGCGGCAUGGUAAACCCCACCGGGAGCAAGACCGAAUAGGGGCGGCACGGGUCCUGGCAUGCCAGGGUCCAGGCGUGUUUCCGCGCCGCUGCCCGGGUUGGUCGCGAGAGGCGGCCGGCAACGGACGUCCCAGAUGAAUGGUCAUCCGCCAUUCGGGCCUCGGCCCGGAUGGUGACAGAACCCGGCUUACAGGCCGUCUGGCAUC
This 413-nucleotide RNase P RNA is filed under the name Azospirillaceae bacterium. Its description in RNAcentral is "RNase P RNA component class A". It matches the Rfam family "Bacterial RNase P class A". Rfam says of the family: Ribonuclease P (RNase P) is a ubiquitous endoribonuclease, found in archaea, bacteria and eukarya as well as chloroplasts and mitochondria. Lineage: Bacteria; Pseudomonadati; Pseudomonadota; Alphaproteobacteria; Rhodospirillales; Azospirillaceae. The record is from RNAcentral.